GACAGUCUUCACAAUUAUUCUUUUGUGCUUUGGUCUCUCCUACCUUUCGCCCACUGCCUAUUGUAUAGACAAAGGGUUGGAUUGUCAUCGAUGCGUAUCCUGAAAGGUUUAAGGGCAGUGCUCUUAGUUCUGUAACUAAUUUUGUUAAAAGUUGUGGCUUAUGAGCAACCCGGAUAGUUUGAAUCUUGUUUGCAGUUGAUAAAUAGCAAAGGAACUAAAAAAUUACUUAGAUUAGCCUUUAUUAUUAGCAAUGACUCGUGGAAAACAAAAUGACCAAUUCAGGACAUAUCAAUGACGCCGUUUCUGUCAUGACCAGUAGAGGAGAUAGUUCAGUACUUCUCAAUCUCCUCUGCACCUCUCCCGGGGAUUCUCCCAGCUAUAAGCAAUAAGCGACCACCUGAUGAUGAAAAAUGAUAACCACCAAUUAUCAUUAAUUUUGUUAUUAUUGCCUACGUUCGGGUAGACUUUAGCAAAUGUAAAAACAGUAAAUAUGAACAUGGAACAUGAGAUGACGAAACCUCUCUCCAGUCAAUUUGUACAUGAUUAUCAACUCUUGUUCAUCCUCAGAGAAAUUAGUUUUAGCUAUCUUUCCUGAAACAAGCCAACAACCAUUGGAGGACUACAAUGGAACAGGUAACAACAGAAAAACAGAGAAAAAACGAUUUAAAAAUGAAGGAGAGUUUAUAUGUAGGUACCCAGAAUUAGCAGGAAUGUAAUUAAUGGAAGAGAGGUGAUCUGAAUCUGGCACUUUGAGUUGAAUGCAGGCCAGAAUAUUGUUGACUAGGGGAGCUAAGUAUAUAUAAGCCUAUGCUUAAGGUUAUAUUAUAGUUUAAAUUUUUUGGUCCUUUGUGUACGUCCCCUUAG
RNAcentral lists this long non-coding RNA (864 nucleotides) under Nicotiana tabacum (common tobacco). RNAcentral describes it as "long non-coding RNA (NTAB_LNC006780)". The record is from RNAcentral. Lineage: Eukaryota; Viridiplantae; Streptophyta; Magnoliopsida; Solanales; Solanaceae.